This 290-nucleotide small nuclear RNA is filed under the name Callithrix jacchus (white-tufted-ear marmoset). Its description in RNAcentral is "7SK RNA". It matches the Rfam family "7SK RNA", at positions 1 to 270 of the family's 331-position model. Rfam says of the family: 7SK was discovered as an abundant small nuclear RNA in the mid-70s but a possible function has only recently been suggested. Lineage: Eukaryota; Metazoa; Chordata; Mammalia; Primates; Cebidae. The record is from Rfam by way of RNAcentral.
GGAUGCGAGGGCAAUCUGGCUGUAACUCUGUCACCUCAUUGAUCACCACGGUUGAUUCAGCUAACACAGCUGGCUACGCGGGUGUCCCCUUACUGCCCCACCACUCCAUGUGCAUCCCUCCUGAAGCUGCAUGCUUGGUUAAAGAGAACGACUAUCCCUGAUUACAGGAGGAGAGGACUGGUCUUUGGUCACGGGUAAAUGAGUAGCUGUGUUCCCCUGCUAGAGCUUCUAAAGAAGCUCUCAAGAAGCUUUAAUGCUUAAUCCUGAUUCUGUUAAAGACAGAACAAUCA